AUGGAAGCCUGCUUCAGCCACAGCCACCAGCCCGUGCCGUCUGGUCCCCUUUCCUCCCCACUGGGCCCCCGUCUAGCUGACCCUGGCCAGGUGCACUGUCCCGCCAGACACCGUCAGCUCCACGCAGUGCAGAGAACCUGGGGAGCCCUGGCCUGGUGGAGUCAAUACGCAUCACUGGAGCCCUCCCCCUGCCCAAGACUUUUUGAAGGAAUGUCAUAAAUAAACAUGGUGAGAUUGACUCAUUCUACAUAAACCUUGCCGAGAGAUCCUGGACCCUUGUUCUGGUUAUUUAUGGCUGAAACCCUGAAAAUGAAUUAGGUAAGUGAGGUGCAGCCCUUCCUGGAGGCAAAAAUAGCGAAACAGAUGGUA
Molecule: long non-coding RNA, 369 nt
Filed under: Phascolarctos cinereus (koala)
Lineage: Eukaryota; Metazoa; Chordata; Mammalia; Diprotodontia; Phascolarctidae
Description: lncRNA (ENSPCIG00000016070.2)
Source: RNAcentral